Molecule: microRNA precursor, 89 nt
Organism: Medicago truncatula (barrel medic)
Lineage: Eukaryota; Viridiplantae; Streptophyta; Magnoliopsida; Fabales; Fabaceae
Rfam family: MIR2617 microRNA precursor family
Source: Rfam
AUGUAGUGUGACAUGCCCGUUGGGGUUUUACUCUGAAUGUUGAAAUAUGAUUAUUUAAUUGAUUUUGGGAAACGGGGUGUUACAGUAGC